UACGAAGGGGGCUAGCGUUGCUCGGAAUCACUGGGCGUAAAGGGUGCGUAGGCGGGUUUUUAAGUCAGGGGUGAAAUCCUGGAGCUCAACUCCAGAACUGCCUUUGAUACUGAAGAUCUUGAGUCCGGGAGAGGUGAGUGGAACUGCGAGUGUAGAGGUGAAAUUCGUAGAUAUUCGCAAGAACACCAGUGGCGAAGGCGGCCCACUGGCCCGGUACUGACGCUGAGGCACGAAAGCGUGGGGAGCAAACAGG
This 253-nucleotide ribosomal RNA is filed under the name uncultured bacterium. RNAcentral's name for it is "partial 16S ribosomal RNA". It matches the Rfam family "Bacterial small subunit ribosomal RNA", at positions 524 to 776 of the family's 1533-position model. The record is from RNAcentral.